GUAGGGUGCGAGCGUUAAUCGGAAUUGCUGGGCGUAAAGCGUGCGCAGGCGGUUUUGUAAGCCAGAUGUGAAAUCCCCGGGCUUAACCUGGGAAUGGCAUUUGGGACUGCAAGGCUGGAGUGCGGCAGAGGAGACUGGAAUUCCUGGUGUAGCAGUGAAAUGCGUAGAUAUCAGGAGGAAUACCGAUGGCGAAGGCAGGUCUCUGGGCUGACACUGACGCUCAUGCACGAAAGCGUGGGGAGCAAACAGGAUUAGAUACCCUGGUAGUCCACGCCCUAAACGAUGUCGACUGGUUGUUGGGGGUUUGACACUCUCAGUAACGAAGCUAACGCGUGAAGUCGACCGCCUGGGGAGUACGGCCGCAAGGUUA
This 370-nucleotide ribosomal RNA is filed under the name uncultured bacterium. Its description in RNAcentral is "bacterial SSU rRNA". It matches the Rfam family "Bacterial small subunit ribosomal RNA", at positions 527 to 896 of the family's 1533-position model. The record is from RNAcentral.